UAUGGCCAUAUUGGACAGAAUAUACCCGAUCUUGGCUGAUCUCAGAAGCUAAACUGUGUUGGGCCUGGCUAGUACUUGGAUGGGAGACCACCUGAGAAUCUCAGGGGGUGUA
RNAcentral lists this ribosomal RNA (112 nucleotides) under Chelydra serpentina (North American snapping turtle). The record is from RNAcentral. Lineage: Eukaryota; Metazoa; Chordata; Testudines; Chelydridae.